Molecule: ribosomal RNA, 834 nt
Filed under: Salmonella enterica subsp. enterica serovar Weltevreden
Lineage: Bacteria; Pseudomonadati; Pseudomonadota; Gammaproteobacteria; Enterobacterales; Enterobacteriaceae
Description: bacterial LSU rRNA
Rfam family: Bacterial large subunit ribosomal RNA
Source: RNAcentral
GUGACUGCGUACCUUUUGUAUAAUGGGUCAGCGACUUAUAUUCUGUAGCAAGGUUAACCGAAUAGGGGAGCCGGAGGGAAACCGAGUCUUAACCGGGCGUUAAGUUGCAGGGUAUAGACCCGAAACCCGGUGAUCUAGCCAUGGGCAGGUUGAAGGUUGGGUAACACUAACUGGAGGACCGAACCGACUAAUGUUGAAAAAUUAGCGGAUGACCUGUGGCUGGGGGUGAAAGGCCAAUCAAACCGGGAGAUAGCUGGUUCUCCCCGAAAGCUAUUUAGGUAGCGCCUCGUGAAUUCAUCUCCGGGGGUAGAGCACUGUUUCGGCUAGGGGGCCAUCCCGGCUUACCAACCCGAUGCAAACUGCGAAUACCGGAGAAUGUUAUCACGGGAGACACACGGCGGGUGCUAACGUCCGUCGUGAAGAGGGAAACAACCCAGACCGCCAGCUAAGGUCCCAAAGUCAUGGUUAAGUGGGAAACGAUGUGGGAAGGCCCAGACAGCCAGGAUGUUGGCUUAGAAGCAGCCAUCAUUUAAAGANGUGAAGAGGGAAACAACCCAGACCGCCAGCUAAGGUCCCAAAGUCAUGGUUAAGUGGGAAACGAUGUGGGAAGGCCCAGACAGCCAGGAUGUUGGCUUAGAAGCAGCCAUCAUUUAAAGAAAGCGUAAUAGCUCACUGGUCGAGUCGGCCUGCGCGGAAGAUGUAACGGGGCUAAACCAUGCACCGAAGCUGCGGCAGCGAACGUAUCACCCAAGACAACUUUACGGAGUUGACGAUUGACGGAGCGAAGCGACGUCAAAGCGUUCAUUAAAGUCGAGUUGGCUUAGGGAUACGUUC